RNAcentral lists this long non-coding RNA (480 nucleotides) under Hordeum vulgare. RNAcentral's name for it is "long non-coding RNA (HVUL_LNC012372)". Lineage: Eukaryota; Viridiplantae; Streptophyta; Magnoliopsida; Poales; Poaceae. The record is from RNAcentral.
CGCUACAGACUACAAAACAUGAGAAAUGACUAUGCUGUUGGGGAAUGUCGCAUGGGAAACAAAAUUUUUCCUACGCGCACGAAGACCUAUCAUGGUGAUGUCCAUCUACGACAGGGGAUUUCCGAUCUACGUACCCUUGUAGAUCGCACAGCAGAAGCGUUAAUAAACGCGGUUGAUGUAGUGGAACGUCCUCACGUCCCUCGAUCCGCCCCGCGAACCGUUCCACGAACCGUCCCGCGAUCCGUCCCACGAUCCGCUCCGAUCUAGUGCCGAACGGACGGCACCUCCGCGUUCAACACACGUACAGAUCGACGAUGAUCUCGGCCUUAUUGAUCCAGCAAGAGAGAUAGAGAGGUAGAUGAGUUCUCCGUCAGUGUGACGGUGCUCCGGAGGUUGGUGGUGAUCUAAUCUCAGCAGGGCUCCGCCCGAGCUCCACAAAAACGCGAUCUAGAGGAAAAACCGUGGAGGUAUGUGGUCGGG